Molecule: long non-coding RNA, 765 nt
Filed under: Solanum tuberosum (potato)
Lineage: Eukaryota; Viridiplantae; Streptophyta; Magnoliopsida; Solanales; Solanaceae
Description: long non-coding RNA (STUB_LNC002866)
Source: RNAcentral
UUCCACAGUGAAAGGCAGGAAAAUUAUAUCACUGCAUUUUGGCAUACUCAUACAUCUAGCACUACUAAACCACACAGAUCACUGCAUAGAAGAUCCAGUGUCUAUAGAAAACUGUAGGUAUCCCUGUAGCUUAAGGUGUAUGCACAUUCCAUAGCCACUAUAUCCUCUUCAAAAGAGCAAUCUACUUUUAGCAAGAACUUUUGCCAAUAAAAUGGCAAAUGAUAUUCAGAAAUCAUGAUGGAAUAUUAUCGCAUAACGAAGAAACAUGUAGUAGUCACAGUGAAAGGCAGUGAAAAUUAUAUCACUGCAUUUUGGCAUAUACUCAUAUAUCUAGCACUACUAAACCACACAGAUCUCUGCAUAGAAGAUCCAGUGUCUACAGAAAACUGUAGGCACCCCUGUAGCUUAAGCUGUAUGCACAUUCCAUAGCUUUCAAUUUAAUUCCAACCAAUACUUCCCAAAAAGCUAUCAGAUUCCACAGUGAAAGGCAGGAAAAUUAUAUCACUGCAUUUUGGCAUAUACUCAUAUAUCUAGCACUACUAAACCACACAGAUCACUGCAUAGAAGAUCCAGUGUCUAUAGAAAACUGUAGGUAUCCCUGUAGCUUAAGGUGUAUGCACAUUCCAUAGCCACUAUAUCCUCUUCAAAAGAGCAAUCUACUUUUAGCAAGAACUUUUGCCAAUAAAAUAGCAAAGGAUAUUCAGAAAUCAUGAUGGAAUAUUAUCGCAUAAUGAAGAAACAUGUAGUAGGCUUUCUAGUAACAUA